This 498-nucleotide ribosomal RNA is filed under the name uncultured bacterium. RNAcentral's name for it is "bacterial SSU rRNA". It matches the Rfam family "Bacterial small subunit ribosomal RNA", at positions 28 to 573 of the family's 1533-position model. The record is from RNAcentral.
AACGAACGUUGGCGGCAUGCCUAACACAUGCAAGUCGAACGAGACCUUCGGGUCUAGUGGCGCACGGGUGCGUAACGCGUGGGAAUCUGCCCUCAGGUACGGAAUAACUCAGGGAAACUUGAGCUAAUACCGUAUAAUGACUUCGGUCCAAAGAUUUAUCGCCUGGGGAUGAGCCCGCGUCGGAUUAGCUAGUUGGUGAGGUAAAGGCUCACCAAGGCGACGAUCCGUAGCUGGUCUGAGAGGAUGAUCAGCCACACUGGGACUGAGACACGGCCCAGACUCCUACGGGAGGCAGCAGUGGGGAAUAUUGGACAAUGGGCGCAAGCCUGAUCCAGCAAUGCCGCGUGAGUGAUGAAGGCCUUAGGGUUGUAAAGCUCUUUUACCCGGGAAGAUAUGACUGUACCGGGAGAAUAAGCCCCGGCUAACUCCGUGCCAGCAGCCGCGGUAAUACGGAGGGGGCUAGCGUUGUUCGGAAUUACUGGGCGUAAAGCGCACGUA